Molecule: long non-coding RNA, 916 nt
Organism: Apis cerana (Asiatic honeybee)
Lineage: Eukaryota; Metazoa; Arthropoda; Insecta; Hymenoptera; Apidae
Source: RefSeq, a predicted model, not a curated record
CCAAAAUUUUCUCAAUUUUUACUUUAUUUCGAUCAAACUGACCAAACUAACCAAACUAACUAAACUAAUCAAUAUCGACAUACUCAUUAAUCCACACACGACACGCCAUUUUCCGUGACUUAAGCAAAUACGUAUAGACCUGCUCAACGCCCUCUAUGUUAUAAACGAUUGCGAGAUUAGUCAGCAAAGAGGUUAAGAAGAUGUAUUGCGAGGAGAAGCUCGAUUAUAGGUGCGUAGACACGAAUUGUGGCGAGAGGAAACGACGAAUAAGCGUUAAAACAGCCUUACGCAAAAUGCGUUCAUUAGCGUGCAAAUGGAUCGGAUGGAAAUGGCCGACCGUAAAAUAAUCUCGUUGCACCCGUAGUCGACCCGUUGCGUUCGUUAACCGUUCGUGAGCCACAGGAAUGGAUGCAAUUACCAAGAACAGAAUCGAAGCAUUUCUCUGCCAGUUGCACGUGGAAACUUGGAUAAUUUUGAUCCGGUAUCGCUGUUUCAACCUAACCUCCUAAUAUUCUUUUUUGGAGUGAAAAUAAGCACAGUCUUGGGCUGAGAAAUUGUUUUUGACCCACUUCGUCCGUGUGCACCGUAUUUUCCGUGUUCCAAGCUGCGAGAAAGUUGGGCAAACUCGACGAGAGGAUCAUCACGCGUUUCGAGAAUCCGUUACCUUGACUACCAGACGCAAAAACGCAAUUCGUUUGGAUUCUUGUUAAACUGUCCAUAGGCAAAACGCAAAAUUCCUUUUAUCUUUUCUGUUAGAUGGAAAUAUUGCUAUAUGGAAAUUUUUAUUCUGUGCGAUAAAUUGUACUUGAACUAUCUAAAUUUUCUUCAUUUUAUAAUUUUUUUUUCUCUUAACUUGUAUUGCAUCACUUUGAUAUCUAAGGUUCAUAUAUAUAUAUAUAUAUAUUUCAACAAACUA